CUCCUUCCAGUCUUGGUGUCCUCUGAUUUAUCCUACAGGAAGUGCUUAUCUUCUUAUACCAUACAGCCGAUUACAUCACUCCUCUGAUGCAUCCCUAAUCAUUCCUCAUGGCCUGCAGCAGUGUUUCUCAAGUGAGUUUUGCCUAUCACCUUCCAUCAGAAUCACCUGGUGAGCUUGUUAGAGAACAGAUUCUCAGGAACCACACCAGGAUUUUGGAUUUAGAAUUGAUGGUGGUUGAGCCUAGACUCUGUAUUUUUAACAAGCUCCCUAUGUGAUUCUUUUUCAUGCUAAAAUUUGAGAGCAUCUGGCCUCCAGAUCAAGUGCAAACACUUCAGAAUUGCUGGUAAGUACCAUCUGACUCUGGCUUAGCGCCUUCUUUCCCUCAAUUCUUUCUACUCUUUCACCUCCCCUCUGCACUCCAGGUACGCCAAACUUUUUGCAGGUCCCCCUAAUACCAAGCUUUCUUACGUGUUAGCAACUUCAUAGAUGCUUGGUCUUCCACUUGAAGACCGCUGUAUGUCUGCUUUUUGGAGGGAGAUUUUGUGUUUGCUGGCAUCUCUACCAAUAAGUACACCAAUCGAAGUGGAAUUCAAAAAAGCUGUUUUGGUCACUUACCAAAGCUCUCAUCAGAGAAAUGUUGGAAGAAAUGAGAAGACUGUGCUCAGAGAUGGUAAGAAACUCAGAAGAGGCACCUGGUGAAUAGGAGAUGUCUGGAACUUGAAUGCAGGAAGAAGUGGAUACUUUCAACGGGAGAAACUCGAGCAUCAGAUUUGCUCCUUGGAGCAUUAAUAAAAGGGCUCAGUUAGCCUCAUCUCAUUAUUUUACUAUGAGUAUUGACUUUGGCCUAGAGUCAUGUAUAGAUAAAAUGGUGCAAGGGCUUGUCCUAAGUGAUUACUCAGAAUUACAAAUCAUUUCACGUGUAACUGAAUACUGCCGUCUAGCUGGCACCCUGCCCCUUGCUUCUCCCCCUCCCCUUCCUCUAAUAGGAGCGCAAAUCCAGCUUUGUCUGAAGAGGCAAUUAAUCUUAUUCACUGAAAGCCGAAUUUUAAUUCACCAGCAUGUGGAGGACAUAUUUGCCUAUCACACAGAAUUAGUUUAACAGAGAAUUUAGACAAAAAAGAUAUUGGAGGUCUUGGCAUUCUUUGGCAGGCAAAAUAUCUUGUAGGUACAUUCCUUUAUUAGCCAUCUACAUACUACGAAUAAGCUUCUUGUAAUAAUAACUCUAUUAGGGUAAACUGGGUUUAUUUUGUAUUUGAAAGUGGCUGAUUACAUUUUAUUUCAUGUAAAGAAACCCACAAGAUAUGUGUGUUUUGGAGGAAAAUGAACAUAAGGUGAGAGAGAUAAAUUUUAGUUUUCUAGAGAUUCUAAAAGGCUAUUAUUUUUAAGGGCACAGUUUAAAGAUGAUCAGAAAAAUAAAGGGACACAUAAAAAUCCUAGACAGCCUACAUACAUCCAAAUCUAAUCCUGCAGAAGGGUAAGUGGUAAGGUAUGAGGUAGACACCAUUGCCAGCACCACACUAGGACUCUCAUGUGAAAUCUGUGAGGGCAAAUACCGGAUUUCCCCAGUGCUUCUGCUGUGCUCUAUUUUAAUUUUCCCCUGAGCAAGGCCUUAGUGUUUUAUCUGAAGUUUGUUUCACAUGUAGACAAAGUGUAAAAAAAAAAACUUCCUGAAGCAGUUUCUUAAUUCAAGAGAUUUAGACAGGAAUAUGAUUUAAUGCAUGUCCAUGCUUGGUUAGAUAUCAAAUUCCCCUAAGUUCAGAAAACACAUGGCUCUGUUUUGUCCUUCUAUUUAACAUGGCGCUCG
This 1804-nucleotide long non-coding RNA is filed under the name Equus caballus (horse). Its description in RNAcentral is "lncRNA (ENSECAG00000051791.1)". The record is from RNAcentral. Lineage: Eukaryota; Metazoa; Chordata; Mammalia; Perissodactyla; Equidae.